Molecule: ribosomal RNA, 253 nt
Filed under: uncultured bacterium
Lineage: Bacteria
Description: partial 16S ribosomal RNA
Rfam family: Bacterial small subunit ribosomal RNA
Source: RNAcentral
AACGUAGGACACAAGCGUUAUCCGGAGUUACUGGGCGUAAAGAGCGCGCAGGCGGUCGAUCAAGUCGCGUGUGAAAGCCCCCGGCUCAACUGGGGAGGGUCACGCGAUACUGAUCGACUCGAAGGCAGGAGAGGGUAGUGGAAUUCCCGGUGUAGUGGUGAAAUGCGUAGAUAUCGGGAGGAACACCAGUGGCGAAGGCGACUACCUGGCCUGUUCUUGACGCUGAGGCGCGAAAGCUAGGGGAGCAAACGGG